This is a long non-coding RNA of Cannabis sativa, 1047 nucleotides long. RefSeq lists it as uncharacterized. NCBI's taxonomy places the organism in Eukaryota, Viridiplantae, Streptophyta, Magnoliopsida, Rosales, Cannabaceae. The transcript is spliced from 3 exons. The record is from RefSeq and is a predicted model, not a curated record.
GGAAUGAUGUAUACUCUUCUUUAAUCUAAUUAACCUUAUAUCAAAUUAUAGUUAAAUUAUUAUAAGGCACUAACACUUUUUUUGGCAGGCACAUAUGGGAGAGCAUCAACGGUCUGAGAAAAAUUUUCAAGUUUUACGACCCAGAGCUUCUCACAGUGCAUGGGAUCAACGAUGAAGAACAGAGUCAGUCUUUUGACGAUGCGGCAAGACGAUUGGCUAAUUGGUUAUCAUUAAUGAACAACAACCACCAAAUGUUCUUUAUUCCUUGGAAUAUCGGGAUGCAUUGGACGCUAGUGGUGGUUGCGCCAAGGAAAAUUAUCCAUUUAAACCCUGUAAAAGGCUGCCCAAUUCCCAAAGUAAUAGAACAAAUGAUCGGAAGGUAAUAAUUUAAUGACUUCUUAUGUAACGACUUUAAAUUAACUAACGAAUUGAAAUGCUAAUAUAAUUUUCCCAAACAGGGCAUUCAUGUAUAUAGGGAACGCACAUGAGUAUCUUGGCCAGUGGCAAGGAAUUAACCAAGCAAACUGUCCAAGACAACCUAAAAGCCAAGAAUGCGGAUUUUAUGUUUUGAAAUAUAUCACUGACAUCGUCGCACGUGCCAACCCCAGCCGUUACAUACAAGAUCAAAAAGCUUUUGGGGGUAAGAAGCAAUACGAUCCAAAAACAGAAUUGUUACCACUACAGCGAAAGUGGAUCGAACAAUUGAUGGCGGUGAUUCACGGUGACGAUUGAGGUUGAAAGGUCGAAGAAUUUUUCUUCAUUAUGUAAUUUUUAUAGAUUAACUUGUAGUUAGAUUUAUUAACUUUAAUAUUUUUAACUAAUUUUACAUUAGUGUUUGUGUAAUAUUUAAUUACUUUUAUGAAAUUAAAUUAUGUAUUUUACCCAAAUUUAAAUAAUAUUUGAUUCACAUUUUAAAAAAUAAAUAUGUAAUUUAUAUUAAAUAAAAUAAUAUAUAAAAUUAUUAAAUAUAUAAAUAAAAUGAAAUUAAAAUUAUAUAAUUAAAUAAAAAAAAAUUUGAAAAAACUGAAAAUCGCUUGCUUUUGGCGU